This is a long non-coding RNA of Bos indicus x Bos taurus (hybrid cattle), 1361 nucleotides long. Lineage: Eukaryota; Metazoa; Chordata; Mammalia; Artiodactyla; Bovidae. The record is from Ensembl.
UAACUUUUGUAAUUUUUCGCAGAGUGCUGCAAGAGACAAGUUCAAGCACUUCAGAAUAAUGGAGAAGGACGAAGGGAGCAAGACUCUCCCUUGUAUUCUCAGACAGGACAUUUUUUCCCAUGAAUUAUCACUCUUCAGGCAUGGUCAGGAGGCUGCUAGUAAACCAGACUCUGAAAACUCAGACUGCUCUGGAGAAAUCAUUAACCUCCAUAGCUGUGGUCAGACUGAGGACACACGGAGAGCAUGGCUUUGUCCAAGACAUACAUCCGGGCCAUCUGACAUAUCCUGGAUGAGAAAAAGGAGCCUUAAACUCCAAAGAUCGCGCAACAGUUUGUUGGAGGAGCUAAAAAUUCAUACCUAGGUAUGAAGCCAUUAUUGUAAAAUACAUCCUACGGUGGAGUGGUUUGAAACAGGGGAAAACUGUUUUCCCUGGGAACAGUGAAUGUUUUAAUUUAACCAGAUCACAGUGAAUACAGUGGAUGUGUGGACAUCAAGACCGAUGGUUAGACUGGAGACACAUUUGGAGAGCUUUGAAUAUAACAGUGGGGAUUCAAUACUUAACUGAGAAACAAAGGAGGAAAUGUGGAGGAUUUUUAUGAAUAGACAGGCUGUGGCUAAGAAAGGGUGGAAUAGAUGAAUGAAGGGUGGAAUAGAUGAAUAGAUGAAAGAAGGAAGAAAGAUUUUUUUUUUUUAAAGCAGGAAGAUGACUAAGAGGCUAUUUUAAUGUUCUGCUGUGGACGAGAUCUAGGGCACUGGUCACAGGAAAAUGCAGUGAGUCUGUGUCUGGGAAUGUUAAAGUUCUCACAUGUCACUUAUUAAGCAGUGUGUUCAAGCGGAAGCUGUUAGUGUGCCGUUUUAAGGAAACCCUCCCUUAUUAGCUGGAGGGCACCCAAGUUAUACCACAAUCAGUUCUGGGUUUACAAGAAUUGUACCUAAGCCAUACAUUUGCCACAUUUUCCCUGCUUGCAUCUUCCUCUUCUUUUCUCUUGUUUGCUAUAACUCUGUCUCUGACUCUGACACCUUUAGUUUUCCUGGCCUUUGACCUGUUUGUUGUAAAAUGUAAGUAUCUCUAUUAUUCAGAUAUGGUGAGGCCAACAGAUGCAGAAAGGACUGCCACCGAAGAACUAUUUUGUUACUCACUGUAUCCAAGUGGAGGGAGGACAUUGGCCAUACAGGGCCACGUGGAGAAGCACCAGGGUUAGCCAGGAGGCAGAGAGCCUGAAGGGAAAUGUGACAAGAGCCUCUACUGUGGUUUGAGUCACAGGCAAGACAGAACAAGCAGCUCUAGGUUCAGUUAGUUUGAUUAGUUUCAGUGGGCUCUGGCUGUUGGCACUGUCUCUGGUUACCUGGUACCUGGCCAG